Molecule: non-coding RNA, 79 nt
Organism: Podarcis lilfordi (Lilford's wall lizard)
Lineage: Eukaryota; Metazoa; Chordata; Lepidosauria; Squamata; Lacertidae
Source: the annotation of a GenBank genome assembly
CCUGUCAUAGCUCAAUAGCAGAGCAUCAGCUUUGCAUGCAGAGGGUCCUAGGUUCAAUCCCUGGCAUCUCUAGGUAGGA